Non-coding RNA from Kluyvera ascorbata ATCC 33433, 145 nucleotides. The record is from Rfam. Lineage: Bacteria; Pseudomonadati; Pseudomonadota; Gammaproteobacteria; Enterobacterales; Enterobacteriaceae.
AGAUAAAAAGAGACCGAAAACGAUUCCUGUUUUCGGUCCAGGGAAAUGGCUCUUGGGAGAGAGCCGUGCGCUAAAAGUUGGCAUUAAUGCAGGCUAAGUCGCCUUGCUUUAUAAGAAUAGAUGACCGUGACAGGUUUUCCAGUCC